AACGGGUGAGUAAUAUAUCGGAACGUACCCAGUAGCGGGGGAUAACGCAGCGAAAGCUGUGCUAAUACCGCAUACGAUCUACGGAUGAAAGCGGGGGACCUUCGGGCCUCGCGCGAUUGGAGCGGCCGAUGUUAGAUUAGGUAGUUGGUGGGGUAAAGGCUCACCAAGCCGACGAUCUAUAGCUGGUCUGAGAGGACGACCAGCCACACUGGAACUGAGACACGGUCCAGACUCC
RNAcentral lists this ribosomal RNA (235 nucleotides) under uncultured bacterium. RNAcentral's name for it is "partial 16S ribosomal RNA". It matches the Rfam family "Bacterial small subunit ribosomal RNA", at positions 101 to 339 of the family's 1533-position model. The record is from RNAcentral.